GCGUCGGUGGCGUAGUGGUUAGGGCGCCUGCCUACCAUGCACAUGGCCCGGGGUUCGAUCCUCGGCCGACGCA
Molecule: transfer RNA, 73 nt
Filed under: Trichobilharzia regenti
Lineage: Eukaryota; Metazoa; Platyhelminthes; Trematoda; Strigeidida; Schistosomatidae
Rfam family: tRNA
About the family: Transfer RNA (tRNA) molecules are approximately 80 nucleotides in length. Their secondary structure includes four short double-helical elements and three loops (D, anti-codon, and T loops).
Source: Rfam by way of RNAcentral